GGGCCCGCACAAGCGGUGGAGUAUGUGGUUUAAUUCGAUGCAACGCGAAGAACCUUACCAGGGUUUGACAUCCUGCGAAUCUUUUGGAAACGAGAGAGUGCCUUCGGGAACGCAGUGACAGGUGGUGCAUGGCUGUCGUCAGCUCGUGUCGUGAGAUGUUGGGUUAAGUCCCGCAACGAGCGCAACCCACGUCUUUAGUUGCCAGCAUUUAGUUGGGCACUCUAGAGAGACUGCCGGUGAUAAACCGGAGAAGGUGUGGAUGACGUCAAGUCAUCAUGCCCCUUACAUCUGGGCUACACACGUACUACAAUGCUACGGACAAAGGGCUGCAAGUUCGCGAGGACAAGCAAAUCCCAUAAACGUGGCUC
This 368-nucleotide ribosomal RNA is filed under the name uncultured bacterium. RNAcentral describes it as "bacterial SSU rRNA". It matches the Rfam family "Bacterial small subunit ribosomal RNA", at positions 917 to 1289 of the family's 1533-position model. The record is from RNAcentral.